Long non-coding RNA from Lytechinus variegatus (green sea urchin), 123 nucleotides. RefSeq lists it as uncharacterized. NCBI's taxonomy places the organism in Eukaryota, Metazoa, Echinodermata, Echinoidea, Temnopleuroida, Toxopneustidae. The transcript is spliced from 3 exons. The record is from RefSeq and is a predicted model, not a curated record.
GCUACAACGGAUACAACGACGGAUCUGGCUCAGACUAGCAUCGCCGGCACAACAACUGAAGAUGCAACCACAUCAAAUAUCGUAACAACAGAUGCAGAUGCAACUGAUAUCAUUACCGGUAAG